Molecule: long non-coding RNA, 476 nt
Organism: Marmota monax (woodchuck)
Lineage: Eukaryota; Metazoa; Chordata; Mammalia; Rodentia; Sciuridae
Exons: 4
Source: RefSeq, a predicted model, not a curated record
UUAUCUGAGAAAAUGGUUAUUUCUUCAUUGCUUUGGAAGGAUAAUUUCACCAGAUACAGAAUUCUAGAUUGCUGGAGUUUCUUAUUUCAAACACUUCAAAUGUUCACUCUCAUCUUCUCUGCGUGGCAUCCGAAGUGAAGGCCGAGAAGAGGAAACUGAAGCUGAGCAAUGUGCUCAGGCCUGCCCAGUCAUGAGGUUCUUGACCCCAACUCUCCCAGUACAAGUCUCUGCUGACCCCAACUAUAAUGGGCAAAAGCAUCCUUAUGGACCAGAACCCUUCCUUGGAAUCAGAAGACUCAGAUCUGCCCCAAGAAGCACCCCUCGUGCUCUGAUCUUAGGUGACGACAGGGCUGGCCCAACCCUUAGCCAUCGUCCAGCAGCCCACUUCAGGAAAAGGAACAGGACCCCUCACCCCUGAAUUUACAGACACAAUCUCUGCAAGAGGUCUCUGGACCAGCUAGGAUCUUCGGAACAGG